This 1415-nucleotide long non-coding RNA is filed under the name Hordeum vulgare. RNAcentral's name for it is "long non-coding RNA (HVUL_LNC020013)". The record is from RNAcentral. Lineage: Eukaryota; Viridiplantae; Streptophyta; Magnoliopsida; Poales; Poaceae.
UCAUGUUGACUUAUUGUUGUUGUGUAACAUAAAUGACCUCACGAUAUAUGACGUUUAAUAUAAUAUUGCAUGACUCCUUAUUUUUGACAUUUUCUCAAUAUAACUGGCAUAAUUUCCAAGUACAACUGUCCAUGGGUGAUUCUUGGUUUUUCCAAAUAAAUUCCAACAGAUUAAAUUGUUUUCUUUGACUUCUGUUAAUUUUCAUUGAGUAGCAGAGACGUAUAUGAUAUUGCCGUCUUGUGAGAUAAAAUGGAUAUUUUGUAUUUUGGCAUCAAAGUAAUUCUAUGUAUGUAAACCGGAGAUCCAUUAUUCAAGUGUGUCAUGAUAGUAGCCUCAACUAUUUGAGUUGCUAAUCGAGUGAUGGUCGAUCUUUUCCAUUACAUAGGCCAAUGGUUUGGUUAAUGUUCCAGAGCAGCAUAACAAGAGAUCCAACCUUAAGGACCAAUCUAUGGUGUCAGAAAUUAGUUAUUGUAAUAGCAUUAAAAUAUUUAAUAUCGACAUGGUUCGUCUAAGUUUAUUAGCUUGACAUCCAGUCUUGAAAUAUAAUCAUACCUUCAAUAUUAUCGAGAUCGAGUUGGCACCAUCUUUAGUACAAGUAGAUAUAUGGCAUCAACUUGAUAGGUGAUAGCACAGUUUUGUAAAUAUUCCUGGUGAUAAUUUUUUUAUAUCUACAUAGAAAAGAUGGAUAAUGGCUGAUAUUUUAUAAUCACCCGCCUUGAUAAGCAUGUAAAUAGGGAUCUACUGUUACAUCUAUUUUCACACACCCUACCAUCCCCAACAGUAAAAACCAGCUCACUGAAUGCUUUUCGUUCUUUCUGUUUGGAAGGGAGUGAAUCAGGAUUGGAUAGCAUCGUGUUGACCAACUCCAAGAAAAAUCUGAAGGAAAUUGAGGUAGUAACAUACCAAUCAGAGAUCGGGAGAUGAAUAGGCAAAUCGCCAUGCCUUGGCCACCAGCCUACAAGAUCGAAUAAAAGAUCCAUUGUUCGGGCGCUGGCACGAAGUUGGGAGACUACACGCCGCAUACAUGCGAGGAUCGGGUACCCACAUCCCACACGUCCGCUGGGUUCCUUGCGCUGGAUACCCUCGGAGAAGAUGGAAGAAAGGGUAGAGAUCACCGAAGUAGAGGGGUCGAUCGCAGGCUCCCAUCACACGCAUCGACCUGCAGCGAUCCCACACCUCUCAUGGAUUCAAUCAAGCGAGGCACGCUGGCGUCCUCACAUCAGGAGCGGAUUGAACCGAUUGCUCCACUCUUCUCCUUGCAUCGGUAGUGCAAGACUGGAUGGAUGAUUGGACAUGGUCACUCCUAUGGAUCACCUUUAGCGAAGACUAGUAGUGGAAGCGGUAUAGUGGGCUGGCUGACGGUCCAGUGAAGUAGAUGCCUUUGCUUUGGCCUCUAGAGCAGCAACACAUAGGAG